This 492-nucleotide ribosomal RNA is filed under the name uncultured bacterium. RNAcentral describes it as "partial 16S ribosomal RNA". It matches the Rfam family "Bacterial small subunit ribosomal RNA", at positions 29 to 507 of the family's 1533-position model. The record is from RNAcentral.
AGUGAACGCUGGCGGUAGGCCUAACACAUGCAAGUCGAACGGCAGCACAGUAAGAGCUUGCUCUUACGGGUGGCGAGUGGCGGACGGGUGAGGAAUACAUCGGAAUCUACUUUUUCGUGGGGGAUAACGUAGAGAAACUUACGCUAAUACCGCAUACGACCUACGGGUGAAAGCAGGGGAUCUUCGGACCUUGCGCGAUUGAAUGAGCCGAUGUCGGAUUAGCUAGUUGGCGGGGUAAAGGCCCACCAAGGCGACGAUCCGUAGCUGGUCUGAGAGGAUGAUCAGCCACACUGGAACUGAGACACGGUCCAGACUCCUACGGGAGGCAGCAGUGGGGAAUAUUGGACAAUGGGCGCAAGCCUGAUCCAGCCAUACCGCGUGGGUGAAGAAGGUCUUCGGGUUGUAAAGCCCUUUUGUUGGGAAAGAAAAGCAGCAGGUUAAUACCCCGCUGUUCUGACGGUACCCAAAGAAUAAGCACCGGCUAACUUCGUG